RNAcentral lists this ribosomal RNA (213 nucleotides) under uncultured bacterium. RNAcentral describes it as "partial 16S ribosomal RNA". It matches the Rfam family "Bacterial small subunit ribosomal RNA", at positions 1280 to 1500 of the family's 1533-position model. The record is from RNAcentral.
AGCCUAUCUCAGUUCGGAUUGGAGGCUGAAACCCGCCUCCAUGAAGUUGGAUUCGCUAGUAAUCGCGCAUCAGCCAUGGCGCGGUGAAUACGUUCCCGGGCCUUGUACACACCGCCCGUCAAGCCAUGGGAGCUGGGGGUGCCUGAAGUUCGUGACCGCAAGGAUCGACCUAGGGCAAAACCGGUGACUGGGGCUAAGUCGUAACAAGGUACC